Molecule: long non-coding RNA, 989 nt
Organism: Callithrix jacchus (white-tufted-ear marmoset)
Lineage: Eukaryota; Metazoa; Chordata; Mammalia; Primates; Cebidae
Source: RefSeq, a predicted model, not a curated record
UGUUGGAGCACAGGAAGCCAGCUCUGAAACAUUUGGACUUUCGUUGUCUGACAUUGCCUUUGCCACUCCUUCUUCCUUCCUCCCACCUUUGCCUUCCCCACCACCUCCUCGAAAUUCCCCUGCCUUCAUCUCUGGCCCUGCUGACGACUUCGCCAUGUGAGUUGUCAGUUUUUGCUACCAGUGAUUUCUUUUCUUCAAGCAAAAGAGAGAAGAGUUUAUUUUAUUCUCAGCAGCAUCCCUGGCCAGACUCGGCAAAGUAGGUUUGUCUCCUCCUGACCCACAGCCAUGGGUUCUUUGUACAUCCCUGCCUCCUACAGUCAGAUGAAGCUGUAUCUCCAAUUCCAUCCAAUGGUCUGUGAGAAGAGGGAGUACAUGUCACUCCCAUGCCAAAGCACACAAAAGCAGAUGUGGGUCCUCCAUGAGCGCUCUUCCCCUUCUGUGGUGACCAUGCGGGAGUAAUAUUGCAGAUGAUGCAGCUAAGACUAGACAGUCAAUGGAUCCUGCCAGCAGCCUGGAUCCUUGAGUGGCUGUGUGGAGCAGAGCCCCCUGACAUUACCUGCUAGGCAUACCACAUGAGCUGUCAAAUAAACACAUUGCUAAGAGGGUCACCUCAACCCGUAGGAACUUCUUUCCUGCCAAGUAACUGGUUCAUUCAUCACUGAGCAUCAUCGUCAUGGAAUGUAAGUACACGCUUUGCUCUGGGCUCUCACUCCCACUGGAACUGGGACCUGGACUCAGCCACUGCUCAAUUUUCAGAAGUGAAGUUGUCUGUGGGGAAGACAAAACCUUGUUUGACAUAGUCAUCACCACGUGGAAGCUGUGUGUGUCUGUGCCAAUUUACACAGCAUCAAGGUGUUAGGUUUGCUACUUGGAUUUUUGGCUACACUGGGAAACGUACUGCAGGUUUAGGGAAGCUUGGUUUUUCCUGGCUUUGGUGCUAUCUUCUAGAUGUAAGGGGACCUGUAACAGCUGAGUUGAGAGGUAAACCA